CGACUCAGACAACACCAAACUGCAAAUUUGGAGAAGAACUUCGGUUCCUGGGUCU
RNAcentral lists this transfer RNA (55 nucleotides) under Calotes versicolor. Its description in RNAcentral is "tRNA-Cys". Lineage: Eukaryota; Metazoa; Chordata; Lepidosauria; Squamata; Agamidae. The record is from RNAcentral.